UGGGGAAUCUUGCGCAAUGGGCGAAAGCCUGACGCAGCAACGCCGCGUGCGGGACGAAGGCUCUCGGGUCGUAAACCGCUUUCAGGAGGGAAGCGGUACCUCCAGAAGAAGCCCCGGCCAACUACGUGCCAGCAGCCGCGGUAACACGUAGGGGGCAAGCGUUGUCCGGAUUUAUUGGGCGUAAAGAGCUCGUAGGCGGCUUGGUAAGUCGGGUGUGAAACCUCCAGGCUCAACCUGGAGACGCCACUCGAUACUGCUAGGCUAGAGUCCGGUAGGGGAGCGUGGAAUUCCUGGUGUAGCGGUGAAAUGCGCAGAUAUCAGGAGGAACACCAGCGGCGAAGGCGGCGCUCUGGGCCGGAACUGACGCUGAGGAGCGAAAGCA
Molecule: ribosomal RNA, 382 nt
Filed under: uncultured bacterium
Lineage: Bacteria
Description: bacterial SSU rRNA
Rfam family: Bacterial small subunit ribosomal RNA
Source: RNAcentral